CUAUCCAUUAGGGCUAGGGUUUCCCCCACCCUUUCCAGGUCCUGGACCUCCCUCAACUUCCCCUCCUCAGGGCAAGGAGGCAUAGCUUUGCUAUUAAUCUUGUUUUGCUGCUCAUAUAUGGUUGCAAAUGAAUUUCCUAUAUUGAAUUGUGGUUCUUUGAUAACUAUUCCUCUUAUAGUGUUACCCUUCAUGUAGUAGAAAUUGUCUUUUCUUGGUUGCACCAUCAACUGCUUUCCUUCCCUCUGAUAUAUAACAGUUGUCUCCUUGUUCAUUGUUGUUCUAUUUUCUUUGUGUUCUCCAUUUCUUAUCUUAUUUGUCACAUUUUUCCUUCUUCUUCCUUUGCAACUGUCUUAUUGUUUGUCUCUUCUCUUAUGUAUUUUCUGCAUUCCUUUAAUUCAUGCCAAAAUUUUUGCACUUUGUACAUAAUAUUGGUUUCCAUUCGAAUUGAAGAUCUUGUUUCGCAAUGUAUCCAUGCUCAUUCUCAAAUAUAAUUGUGUCUAGAAAUAGCUUAUUUAUGGGUACUCCACCAUUACUCUAGAAAAUGUCAUUCUCUCCUUCAUUAUAGUGGCUUUGUCUGCUUUUAGUGGAUUGCCAACUUGCCUGAUAUUUUUGCUAAUGCUUGUUUUUCCCAAUACUUUACAUUCAAUCCGGAAGCCUGAUCCAUACUGGUAUGUUAUCCAUUAUCUGCUUCCUAAUUUCAAUUUCUGGUUGCCAAUGCUCGACUAUAACUGGCUUUCUGUCGAACAUCUGAACUCCAUCUUUUACUACUUUUUUGCGACUUUCAAGUGUGUGAUAUCUGACGAGGAACACUCCUCUAUGGACUUGUGCAACUUUAUCAAUUUCAACCCUUCCUAAAUUCUGUUGAAGUAUCCUUCAAUGACUGUUUGAGGUGGAUUUGAGCCCAGCACAUAACAUACUACCCCUAUUUUCCAGUAUUCCACCUCCUCAUGGAUGUCUUCUAGAGUUACUUUCACAUUGCUUCUAGUAGGUGUUUCAUGUUUCAAAUCUUCAUCUUGUUCCAUUGGAACAGUUCCUACAAUCUUACUCCACGAAGGUCUAGUGGUUUGUGUCUUACUCUAUUCAGCAAGUGUAAUUGCUUCCUUCUCCACCAUAUCAGCCCCACGAUCUUCUACUUGCAUCACUCCUCCCCUUUGUAGUUUUAUUCUCUAUCUUCGCUGGUAUUAUAGUUGGCGUUGAAGUUUCUGAUACUCAAUCCAUGUCCAAUAGUCCAAUUUCAUGAAUCUUCUGUCAUAGGAACACCUUUUCAUCCUUGAUUUUGACUCGGAUUUACCAUUUGAGUGCUUUGCACUCUCGCCCCAAUCUUCGAUUUCCUACCAUAUUCAGGUUAGCUGAGAGAAAGUUUCAUUCUAGAGGGAGAAAUUUUGCACCCGCUAUCAACUGUUCUUUAUUGUUUGUAUGUGAUCAAGUUAAGCGGGAAUUCACAUGUGAAAAUUUUGGUCAACAAUUGCUUGUUUGAUUGAAUAUUUGGAGCGCGAUAAUAGCCGUUUUAUAUAGAGUAAUCAAGAAUGAUGAAGGACUCUUCUAGCAUGUCAAAAAAAUGAAUCAUGAAUUUUACUCGAACUUUAGAAGUUAAC
Molecule: long non-coding RNA, 1595 nt
Filed under: Nicotiana benthamiana
Lineage: Eukaryota; Viridiplantae; Streptophyta; Magnoliopsida; Solanales; Solanaceae
Description: long non-coding RNA (NBEN_LNC025999)
Source: RNAcentral